RNAcentral lists this unclassified non-coding RNA (215 nucleotides) under Hevea brasiliensis (rubber tree). Lineage: Eukaryota; Viridiplantae; Streptophyta; Magnoliopsida; Malpighiales; Euphorbiaceae. The record is from RNAcentral.
AAAAUUCAGCAAUUAAUUUAUAAAUUAACUAGCUAAAAUUAGUUGCUAAAAACAUCGUCUUCUAAUAUAGUUGGAAUGUAGCCAUAGCUCCUGCCAUAUUUCUUUCCUUCUUCAGUAUGCUUGUAUAUAAGCAAGACAAUUAUUUUUCUUUCAAUCAAGGAGAAUACUUCUCAGAUUUCUUUCCAAUUGAUAAGUGUUUCAAAAAUAGCUACCAG